AUUGAACGCUGGCGGAAUGCUCUACACAUGCAAGUCGAACGGCAGCACGGACUUCGGUCUGGUGGCGAGUGGCGAACGGGUGAGUAAUGUAUCGGAACGUGCCCAGUCGUGGGGGAUAACGUAGUGAAAAUUACGCUAAUACCGCAUACGAUCUAUGGAUGAAAGCGGGGGAUCGCAAGACCUCGCGCGAUUGGAGCGGCCGAUAUCGGAUUAGGUAGUUGGGGGGGUAAAGGCCUACCAAGCCAACGAUCUGUAGCGGGUCUGAGAGGACGACCAACCACACUGGAACUGAGACACGGCCCAGACUCCUACGGGAGGCAGCAGGGGGGAAUUUUGGACAAUGGGCGAAAGCCUGAUUCAGCCAUUCCGCGUGCAGGAUGAAGGCCCUCGGGUUGUAAACUGCUUUUGUACAGAACGAAAAGGUUUCUACUAAUACUAGGAGCUCAUGACGGUACUGUAAGAAUAAGCACCGGCUAACUACGUGCCAGCCGCCGCAGUAA
Molecule: ribosomal RNA, 500 nt
Filed under: uncultured bacterium
Lineage: Bacteria
Description: partial 16S ribosomal RNA
Rfam family: Bacterial small subunit ribosomal RNA
Source: RNAcentral